GAUGAACGCUGGCGGCGUGCCUAAUACAUGCAAGUCGAGCGAACGGACGAGAAGCUUGCUUCUCUGAUGUUAGCGGCGGACGGGUGAGUAACACGUGGAUAACCUACCUAUAAGACUGGGAUAACUUCGGGAAACCGGAGCUAAUACCGGAUAAUAUUUUGAACCGCAUGGUUCAAAAGUGAAAGACGGUCUUGCUGUCACUUAUAGAUGGAUCCGCGCUGCAUUAGCUAGUUGGUAAGGUAACGGCUUACCAAGGCAACGAUGCAUAGCCGACCUGAGAGGGUGAUCGGCCACACUGGAACUGAGACACGGUCCAGACUCCUACGGGAGGCAGCAGUAGGGAAUCUUCCGCAAUGGGCGAAAGCCUGACGGAGCAACGCCGCGUGAGUGAUGAAGGUCUUCGGAUCGUAAAACUCUGUUAUUAGGGAAGAACAUAUGCGUAAGUAACUGUGCACAUCUUGACGGUACCUAAUCGGAAAGCCACGGCUAACUACGUG
Molecule: ribosomal RNA, 497 nt
Filed under: uncultured bacterium
Lineage: Bacteria
Description: partial 16S ribosomal RNA
Rfam family: Bacterial small subunit ribosomal RNA
Source: RNAcentral